This is a long non-coding RNA of Arachis stenosperma, 590 nucleotides long. RefSeq lists it as uncharacterized. Lineage: Eukaryota; Viridiplantae; Streptophyta; Magnoliopsida; Fabales; Fabaceae. The record is from RefSeq and is a predicted model, not a curated record. The transcript has 3 exons.
CCAGCCGCCGUGGAAGAAGAAAGGUAAAGACCAAAACCUAUAUCCCACUUCCAUCCACCAUAAUUUCUUCAUCCGACCUCCAAUCGCCGCACCGUUUGCGGCUACGUGUCCAGCGCGUCGAGCUCUACAAUUCUAUCGAAAUAGUUUUUGGAUCCAAUUAACUUGAGGAAUACGUUCACUCUUGUUUAUACAAAGUUCGGGUAAGGUGAUGUGUUGCAAUUGCAUUGGAACUUGAUAUUGUGGACAUUGGAAGCCUUGGAUUGAUAUCAAGUCUUGGUGAUCUUAUGAAUUGAGGAGCUGUGUGUGUAGCUUAAGUGUUGCUUUGGACAGUAAGUAAAAGUGGCCAAUGUAUGGUUUAGAUUUUGCGCAUUUAAUAUGUAAGGUUCUGUGAAAACUUAGAUUAGAGAACUAUAGGAUAAGUUGAAGUGGUUAAAUAUGUUAAAUGAUUAGUCUUUAUGAUAUUGAUGGAUAAAUUGAUGUUGGACAUGUGUUGAGGAAUAUGGUGAAUUUAUGAUGUCUUCUUGGUGUUUGGUUAUAGUUGAGCAAUUGACAAUAUGAGUUGAAUAUAUAUAUAUAUAUAUAUAAUGAUG